UAUAAUUGUUGGGGUAUGAGGUAAAAUUUCCUAAAGUCAUUCACAUGAUACAUCUCACCGGCCUCUUAUAUUCCUGCCACGCCGGAGAUCGUCUCCCGCGGCGACGAAAGUGAUACCGCCACCAUAAUCACCUCAUACAUAUAUCAGUUUACUUGUCUCAAACUCUCCUUUCCCGAUACCUAAUUAAUUUUACCUAAAUCUAUACCUACCGAAUGAAUUGAUGCAAGGAAAAAACGAACCCUAAUUCUAAAAUCCAGCAAAUAAAUGGCGAAUUUCCACAGAAUCAAACAAUAAACCUAGGUUUAUUGCUCCUCAUAAGGAGCUCUACACGGAAGUAAUAUACUCACGGCGAAGAGUGGAAGAAUAAAUACCUCCGAUGAUGUUGCUCCGGUGAGAAGGUGAACCUAAGAAGAUAAAUCAGAAAGGCUUCGAAUCAGGUUUAGUCAGUUGGAUGUUGUUGGAAAGAAUGUGAAGUGAAGUUGCAGGUUUGUUAGAAGUUUGUUAAAGGUUGGUUAAGAGGGAGGUUGGGGAGUUUUUGUGUGUGGAAGUUGGAAAAAUUUGUUGUGAAGUUUGUUCAGAAGUUUGAGAAAUCUUUCUUGAAAGAAGUUGUGGUUCUGAUUCAGUUGGAAGGAGUUGGUUUUGUUGUAGGGUAGUGAAAUUUUGUUAUAGGGAAACAACUAUCAAUUGAUUUGGAGGUUAUUUUAGGUUUUAUGUGAAGUUUUUGUUGGAAGGUUGCUUAGUGGUUGAAGCCUUUUUUUUGUCUAGUUCAGUUAAGUCGUUAUAAACCAAUUAGGGUAAUUAGGAUUUGGUUAGUUAGAACUUGGUUAAGUAAGUUGUUUUUCUGCUAAUAUGGAUCCUGCUUGUUAUAAAAUAUUGAUGAACUGUUGGUAAGUGCAGUUGACACCAGUUUAUGUCA
Molecule: long non-coding RNA, 916 nt
Organism: Lathyrus oleraceus (garden pea)
Lineage: Eukaryota; Viridiplantae; Streptophyta; Magnoliopsida; Fabales; Fabaceae
Exons: 2
Source: RefSeq, a predicted model, not a curated record